This is a small nuclear RNA of Ictalurus punctatus (channel catfish), 101 nucleotides long. The record is from Ensembl. Lineage: Eukaryota; Metazoa; Chordata; Actinopteri; Siluriformes; Ictaluridae.
UGACUGCUGGAAGUUGCUACAGCAGCACAACGAUACAGAGAAGAUUAGCUUGGCCCCUGCACAAGGAUGAUGCAAAACUACUGGAAAUCAAAGAUGUCGUA